Molecule: long non-coding RNA, 393 nt
Organism: Boleophthalmus pectinirostris (great blue-spotted mudskipper)
Lineage: Eukaryota; Metazoa; Chordata; Actinopteri; Gobiiformes; Gobiidae
Exons: 3
Source: RefSeq, a predicted model, not a curated record
GAUCAUAGAAGCAGCUUUAAAAGAAAAAGCUGGUGGUGAAGAAGUGCCAAAGGAAUAACAAAUAACAAAAACCCUAAGUCAUACUACAAGAAGGAAGUUGGUUAAUAUACUGGUUUCUCACAUGAUUUAACACCAUGGGCCACCCGGGAACAGUCUGCCCUUGGGAUUGUGAUGGCGUUUCCUUCUCUCAAAGAUCCAUAUGUCAAGAAAGGCUAUGAGCACCUCUAUGAUGCUGCGGGUGGAUCAGGGUACAUCUCAAGGCUGAAGAUGGUCCAAAGGCGGAAAAGGCAAGUGACUCCACAGCCACCGGACAGCCCUGUUGACUAUUCUCAAGGAGGCCCAACACAUCAGAGGACUGUUCAGGUCGAACAACAGCUGGACGGUGAUACAUGC